This 68-nucleotide transfer RNA is filed under the name Urocitellus parryii (Arctic ground squirrel). RNAcentral describes it as "Spermophilus parryii (Arctic ground squirrel) tRNA". It matches the Rfam family "tRNA". Rfam says of the family: Transfer RNA (tRNA) molecules are approximately 80 nucleotides in length. The record is from Rfam by way of RNAcentral. RNAcentral also lists the same sequence under 1 other name. Lineage: Eukaryota; Metazoa; Chordata; Mammalia; Rodentia; Sciuridae.
GGGGUUGUAGCUCAAAGAUAGAGCACUUGCCUUGCACACAUGAGGUCCUGGUUCGAUCCUCAGCACCA